RNAcentral lists this ribosomal RNA (615 nucleotides) under Smelowskia tibetica. Its description in RNAcentral is "eukaryotic LSU rRNA". The stretch from base 258 to 413 matches the Rfam family "5.8S ribosomal RNA". The record is from RNAcentral. Lineage: Eukaryota; Viridiplantae; Streptophyta; Magnoliopsida; Brassicales; Brassicaceae.
UUGUCGAUACCUGUCCAAAACAGAACGACCCGCGAACCAACGAUCACCACUCUCGGUGGGCCGGUUUCUUAGCUGAUCCCGUGCCUUCCGAAUCCGUGGUUUCGCGUACUGUCCUAGUUGGGUCAUGCGCGUAGCUUCCGGAUAUCACAAAACCACGGCACGAAAAGUGUCAAGGAACAUGCAACCGAACGGCCAGCCUUCGCCUCCCCGGAGACGGUGUGAGUGCGGAUGCUGCGCUGCGAUAUUAAGUCUAAAACGACUCUCGGCAACGGAUAUCUCGGCUCUCGCAUCGAUGAAGAACGUAGCGAAAUGCGAUACUUGGUGUGAAUUGCAGAAUCCCGUGAACCAUCGAGUCUUUGAACGCAAGUUGCGCCCCAAGCCUUCUGGCCGAGGGCACGUCUGCCUGGGUGUCACAAACCGUCGUCCCAUCCUCAUCCUUUGCGGAUUCGGGACGGAAGCUGGUCUCCCGUGUGUUACCGCAUGCGGUUGGCCAAAAUCCGAGCAAAGGACGCUUGGAGCGUCCCGACAUGCGGUGGCGAAUUAAAGCCUCUUCACAUUGUCGGUCGUUCCUUGUCUGGAUGCUCUAGAUGACCCAAAGUCUUCAAAGCGACCCCA